GAUGAACGCUGGCGGCGUGCCUAAUACAUGCAAGUCGAGCGAGCAGACGAGGAGCUUGCUCCUCUGACGUUAGCGGCGGACGGGUGAGUAACACGUGGAUAACCUACCUAUAAGACUGGGAUAACUUCGGGAAACCGGAGCUAAUACCGGAUAAUAUAUUGAACCGCAUGGUUCAAUAGUGAAAGACGGUUUUGCUGUCACUUAUAGAUGGAUCCGCGCCGCAUUAGCUAGUUGGUAAGGUAACGGCUUACCAAGGCAACGAUGCGUAGCCGACCUGAGAGGGUGAUCGGCCACACUGGAACUGAGACACGGUCCAGACUCCUACGGGAGGCAGCAGUAGGGAAUCUUCCGCAAUGGGCGAAAGCUGGACGGAGCAACGCCGCGUGAGUGAUGAAGGUCGUCGGAUCGUAAAACUCUGUUAUUAGGGAAGAACAAAUGUGUAAGUAACUAUGCACGUCUUGACGGUACCUAAUCAGAAAGCCACGGCUAACUACG
Molecule: ribosomal RNA, 495 nt
Filed under: uncultured bacterium
Lineage: Bacteria
Description: partial 16S ribosomal RNA
Rfam family: Bacterial small subunit ribosomal RNA
Source: RNAcentral